Molecule: ribosomal RNA, 743 nt
Filed under: uncultured bacterium
Lineage: Bacteria
Description: bacterial SSU rRNA
Rfam family: Bacterial small subunit ribosomal RNA
Source: RNAcentral
AGAGUUUGAUCAUGGCUCAGAACGAACGCUGGCGGCAGGCUUAACACAUGCAAGUCGAACGCUCAUCUUCGGAUGGGAGUGGCAGACGGGUGAGUAACGCGUGGGAACCUACCUAAUAGUGCGGAAUAGCCUUGGGAAACUGGGAAUAAUACCGCAUACGCCCUUCGGGGGAAAGAUUUUAUCGCUAUUAGAUGGGCCCGCGUUGGAUUAGCUAGUUGGUGAGGUAAUGGCUCACCAAGGCGACGAUCUAUAGCUGGUCUGAGAGGAUGAUCAGCCACACUGGAACUGAGACACGGUCCAGACUCCUACGGGAGGCAGCAGUGGGGAAUAUUGGACAAUGGGCGCAAGCCUGAUCCAGCCAUGCCGCGUGAGUGAUGAAGGCCUUAGGGUUGUAAAGCUCUUUCAAUGGUGAUGAUAAUGACAGUAGCCAUAGAAGAAGCCCCGGCUAACUUCGUGCCAGCAGCCGCGGUAAUACGAAGGGGGCUAGCGUUGUUCGGAUUUACUGGGCGUAAAGCGCACGUAGGCGGAUUGAUUAGUUAGGGGUGAAAUCCCGAGGCUCAACCUCGGAACUGCCUCUAAAACUGUCAAUCUCGAGACCGGAAGAGGUGAGUGGAACUCCUAGUGUAGAGGUGGAAUUCGUAGAUAUUAGGAAGAACACCAGUGGCGAAGGCGGCUCACUGGUCCGGUACUGACGCUGAGGUGCGAAAGCGUGGGGAGCGAACAGGAUUAGAUACCCUGGUAGU